Molecule: long non-coding RNA, 497 nt
Organism: Polypterus senegalus (gray bichir)
Lineage: Eukaryota; Metazoa; Chordata; Cladistia; Polypteriformes; Polypteridae
Exons: 2
Source: RefSeq, a predicted model, not a curated record
UUGGUUAUUUUGAUGAUUGGAAUAAAAAUAUCAUUAAAGCUUUUCUGUGACUUGCAUAUUACUUUAGCCAGUGUCCGGACUGUAGCAAUCGUAAUACUCUGAAGUAAUGGAUGUAUUCAGAAAAACUAUUGAGAUCACAUCCAACAGGAGUUUUUGUAGUGAUCCACAGAGUAAUCCUCACAGUUUCAACUAUCUUUCAAUGUGUCCACUUUUCUGAGGAAACACAAGUGUUCAGACCACAACCAGACCGCUUACAUAAGACAAAUACUCCAUGUGACAGUCUGAUGUAUUGAUUUGUGUGUCCACAGUGUGGCUGUGUGGCUGCAGUAGGGCAGCUGACUGAAGAACAAGUGGCUCAGGUUAUGAGGCUGCAGAGAUCAGCAGAGCCUACAGGAGGACUCAACAUGAGAAGCUGUUGGAGUUCAUAAUAAAGGACCAUGGAGCAGAUGAUCACUUGCUGGCUGUUGUAUCUCGUAAAGUAUCGUCCAAAAGGUUAA